This is a non-coding RNA of Ceratotherium simum simum (southern white rhinoceros), 140 nucleotides long. The record is from RefSeq and is a predicted model, not a curated record. Lineage: Eukaryota; Metazoa; Chordata; Mammalia; Perissodactyla; Rhinocerotidae.
CAAAAAAAUUGGUCAUGAAAACCCUAUGAAUAGCAGUGGAGCAUUGCCUGAUAUAGUGCUAGAAGGUGAGCGGAUGGCACAAAAAGACCAGGCAGGGUUCCAUUCUGCUGUACAUAGGGACACUAGAGUAAGAAUUGACU